RNAcentral lists this transfer RNA (74 nucleotides) under Pseudomonas sp. RNAcentral's name for it is "tRNA-Cys(gca)". It matches the Rfam family "tRNA". Rfam says of the family: Transfer RNA (tRNA) molecules are approximately 80 nucleotides in length. Their secondary structure includes four short double-helical elements and three loops (D, anti-codon, and T loops). RNAcentral also lists the same sequence under 33 other names. Lineage: Bacteria; Pseudomonadati; Pseudomonadota; Gammaproteobacteria; Pseudomonadales; Pseudomonadaceae. The record is from RNAcentral.
GGCCGGAUGGCAGAGUGGUCAUGCAGCGGAUUGCAAAUCCGUGUACGCCGGUUCGAUUCCGACUUCGGCCUCCA